CCCUUAGAUGUUCUGGGCCGCACGCGCGCUACACUGAUGCAUUCAACGAGUCUAAAACCUGGUCUGAUAGGGCUGGGUAAUCUUUUGAAUGUGCAUCGUGAUUGGGAUAGAUGAUUGCAAUUCUUCAUCUUCAACGAGGAAUGCCUAGUAAACGCAAGUCAUCAGCUUGCAUUGAUUACGUCCCUGCCCUUUGUACACACCGCCCGUCGCUCCUACCGAUUGAAUGUUCCGAUGAAUAACAUGGACUGAGAGUAUGAAUGGGUUCGCCUAUUUCUGCUUCUCGGGAAGUGGAGUAAAUCUUAACAUUUAGAGGAAGGAGAAGUCGUAACA
RNAcentral lists this ribosomal RNA (330 nucleotides) under uncultured eukaryote. RNAcentral's name for it is "partial 18S ribosomal RNA". It matches the Rfam family "Eukaryotic small subunit ribosomal RNA", at positions 1470 to 1796 of the family's 1831-position model. The record is from RNAcentral.